UUCCUCAAGAAAAAUUUGAGGUAAGACCUGCCCAAUGUUCUUAUCAAUGGCCGCGGUAUUUUGACCGUGCGAAGGUAGCAUAAUCAUUAGUCUCUUAAUUAGAGGCUUGUAUGAACGGUUAAACGAGAAAAAAACUGUCUCUCAUCAAAUUAUGGAAUUUUAUUUUUAAGUGAAAAAGCUUAAAUAAAUCUGAAGGACGAUAAGACCCUAUAGAGCUUUAUUUCCUAACUCUGUGAACCCCAUAGUAUAAAAGUUUAACAGAAUAAAGAAAUUUUGUUGGGGCGACAAAAAGACAAAAAUCAACUCUUAUUUUUUUAAACAAACAAAAUUGAACUAUUGAUCCUUACAGAAAGAUCAAAUGAACAAGUUACCUUAGGGAUAACAGCGUAAUCCUUUUCAAGAGUUCUCAUCAACAAAAGGGUUUGCGACCUCGAUGUUGGAUUAAGAAUUUGCUAGGGUGCAGAAGCUCUAGUAAAAGGUCUGUUCGACCUUUAAAAUCUUACA
Molecule: ribosomal RNA, 504 nt
Filed under: Limnadia lenticularis
Lineage: Eukaryota; Metazoa; Arthropoda; Branchiopoda; Diplostraca; Limnadiidae
Description: partial 16S ribosomal RNA
Rfam family: Bacterial large subunit ribosomal RNA
Source: RNAcentral